This 253-nucleotide ribosomal RNA is filed under the name uncultured bacterium. RNAcentral describes it as "partial 16S ribosomal RNA". It matches the Rfam family "Bacterial small subunit ribosomal RNA", at positions 524 to 776 of the family's 1533-position model. The record is from RNAcentral.
UACGUAGGGGGCGAGCGUUAUCCGGAUUCACUGGGCGUAAAGGGAGCGCAGGCGGCACGGCAAGUCCGGUGUGAAAGCCCGGGGCCCAACCCCGGGACUGCACUGGAAACUGCCGGGCUGGAGUGUCGGAGUGGCAGGCGGAAUUCCUAGUGUAGCGGUGGAAUGCGUAGAUAUUAGGAGGAACACCGGUGGCGAAGGCGGCCUGCUGGACGACGACUGACGCUGAGGCUCGAAAGCGUGGGGAGCAAACAGG